RNAcentral lists this transfer RNA (62 nucleotides) under Callispa bowringii. RNAcentral describes it as "tRNA-Phe". Lineage: Eukaryota; Metazoa; Arthropoda; Insecta; Coleoptera; Chrysomelidae. The record is from RNAcentral.
AUUUUAAUAGCUUAUGAAGAGCAUAGUACUGAAGAUACUAAGGAAAUUUAUUUUUUAAAAUA